Molecule: ribosomal RNA, 465 nt
Filed under: uncultured bacterium
Lineage: Bacteria
Description: partial 16S ribosomal RNA
Rfam family: Bacterial small subunit ribosomal RNA
Source: RNAcentral
GACGAACGCUGGCGGCGUGCUUAACACAUGCAAGUCGUACGGUAAGGCCCUUUCGGGGGUACACGAGUGGGGAAAGGGGGAGUAACACGUAAGUAACCUGCCCACAACUUUGGGAUAACGCCAGGAAACUGGGGCUAAUACUGGCAAUGUGCUCCUGCUGCAUGGUGGGGGUUGGAAAGAUCCGGCGGUGGUGGAUGGACUCGGGGCCUAUCAGCUUGUUGGUGGGGUAGUGGCCUACCAAGGCGGCGACGGGUAGCCGGCCUGAGAGGGUGACCGGCCACAUUGACACUGAGGGAAGGCCCAGGCGCGGACGUUAGGCAACAGGGGGAAAGCUUGCACAAGGAGCGCCAGCCGGGUGCAGCAGGGCUUCGGGCGGUAUAACGGCUUUGGGGUGGAAAACCGCGUUCAGGAGGGACCAAGCGUUUGGUGACGGUACCUGCAGAAGAAGCACCGGCUAACUACGUG